This is a long non-coding RNA of Cucurbita maxima (winter squash), 765 nucleotides long. RefSeq lists it as uncharacterized. NCBI's taxonomy places the organism in Eukaryota, Viridiplantae, Streptophyta, Magnoliopsida, Cucurbitales, Cucurbitaceae. The record is from RefSeq and is a predicted model, not a curated record. The transcript has 4 exons.
GCCCGUUUAAAAGGGUCGGUUUAUCGGGUCGGGUGACGUGGUAAAAGCUUUGCAAGAGGCGCGCAGUUGCGUCUCAAACUCUCACAAAGCUUCGCUCUACGCUUUAACCAGUAACUGCUUCGCUCUUUUCUCCGAGAAUCGCUGAUUUAGGAUUUCUUCAUCUCUUCUGUUGCCCUCUCUCAUUACCAUGAAAGAGAGAUUGUGAGGAUGAUCCUCCAGUCCAGAUUCUCAAGGAUUCUUCUCUUCGGAGUCUCCGGCGGCAGCGCAAUGGUGGUGGAAGCGAAUCCAGCAGAAGAACAGAGCACCGUGGAAACGAUGAUGAAUGAAAUCGAGGCUCUAGUUGAUGUGCAAUCCUCUAGUUCUGGAAUUUUGAAUGUCUUCUAAUCGACGGCAUAAUAAACACUCUGCUGAACUAAUAGUCUUGGCUUCUAGGUGGUGAAGAAGUUGAUUUUGGCAGGAGCAAAUGAGAGCCUAUUGAACAGCCACGAUAGAAGUCCAAUGGAUAAAGCUCUGAGUGAGGGGAACAUGGAUGUCGUCGAUGCGAUCAACGCGGCUCAACUCGAGCUCACUGGUAUCAAUGUUUACGAUGGUGGAAAUUUAUUUAGUUUUUAACUCAAAUCGUUCCUUUAGGUAAGGACUGUUUUCAUUAAAGUAAAUAAAGAAUUAUAUUAAUCAAUGCUACAAGAGCUUGAAAAAAGUUAAUUAGAAUAUAUGCUAGUGAAUAAGGUGUCAACACUAUACCCAAGUUAGAUUCUUUUAAUAACU